Molecule: transfer RNA, 77 nt
Filed under: Hyphomicrobiales bacterium
Lineage: Bacteria; Pseudomonadati; Pseudomonadota; Alphaproteobacteria; Hyphomicrobiales
Also listed under: 2 other names
Description: Rhizobiales bacterium (bioreactor metagenome) tRNA-Arg
Rfam family: tRNA
About the family: Transfer RNA (tRNA) molecules are approximately 80 nucleotides in length. Their secondary structure includes four short double-helical elements and three loops (D, anti-codon, and T loops). Further hydrogen bonds mediate the characteristic L-shaped molecular structure. tRNAs have two regions of fundamental functional importance: the anti-codon, which is responsible for specific mRNA codon recognition, and the 3' end, to which the tRNAs corresponding amino acid is attached (by aminoacyl-tRNA synthetases). tRNAs cope with the degeneracy of the genetic code in two manners: having more than one tRNA (with a specific anti-codon) for a particular amino acid; and 'wobble' base-pairing, i.e. permitting non-standard base-pairing at the 3rd anti-codon position.
Source: RNAcentral
GGCCCCGUAGCUCAGCUGGAUAGAGCAUCAGACUUCGAAUCUGAGGGUCGGGAGUUCGAAUCUCUCCGGGGUCGCCA